Long non-coding RNA from Solea senegalensis (Senegalese sole), 272 nucleotides. RefSeq lists it as uncharacterized. The transcript is spliced from 3 exons. The record is from RefSeq and is a predicted model, not a curated record. NCBI's taxonomy places the organism in Eukaryota, Metazoa, Chordata, Actinopteri, Pleuronectiformes, Soleidae.
CAAAUGAGUCCUAUGGCUGCAGUUGAAGGACUCCAUCUGCUGGAUGAUGACGCAGGCACAUCAAGAUGUAGGAAGACACUUGUAACAACUGUCAGCUUCAUUUGAGUGCUGCGGCUGUUGGUAGUAGCCAGACAGGGCCAGGACUAACACCAGACCAGAUGACUUUGAGGACUGCGUUGUGGCCCGAAAACAAACGUCCCUUCUAGCGCAGGGAUGCAGCUCUGGUCCGCAGGGAAAGGCCCCAGAAGAAUGACAAGUAUGUAUUGUCUCUG